CCUACGGGUGGCUGCAGUGGGGAAUAUUGGACAAUGGGGGAAACCCUGAUCCAGCAAUGCCGCGUGAGUGAUGAAGGCCUUCGGGUUGUAAAGCUCUUUUACCUGUGACGAUAAUGACGGUAACAGGAGAAUAAGCCCCGGCUAACUUCGUGCCAGCAGCCGCGGUAAUACGAAGGGGGCUAGCGUUGUUCGGAAUUACUGGGCGUAAAGGGCGCGUAGGCGGCUUUUUGCGUGAGAUGUGAAAGACCUGGGCUCAACCUGGGAAGUGCAUUUCA
This 275-nucleotide ribosomal RNA is filed under the name uncultured bacterium. Its description in RNAcentral is "partial 16S ribosomal RNA". It matches the Rfam family "Bacterial small subunit ribosomal RNA", at positions 338 to 630 of the family's 1533-position model. The record is from RNAcentral.